GGGGCUAUAGCUCAGCUGGGAGAGCGCCUGCCUUGCACGCAGGAGGUCAGCGGUUCGAUCCCGCUCCUCCACCA
This 74-nucleotide transfer RNA is filed under the name Serratia marcescens. RNAcentral's name for it is "tRNA-Ala". It matches the Rfam family "tRNA". From Rfam's summary of the family: Transfer RNA (tRNA) molecules are approximately 80 nucleotides in length. Their secondary structure includes four short double-helical elements and three loops (D, anti-codon, and T loops). Further hydrogen bonds mediate the characteristic L-shaped molecular structure. tRNAs have two regions of fundamental functional importance: the anti-codon, which is responsible for specific mRNA codon recognition, and the 3' end, to which the tRNAs corresponding amino acid is attached (by aminoacyl-tRNA synthetases). tRNAs cope with the degeneracy of the genetic code in two manners: having more than one tRNA (with a specific anti-codon) for a particular amino acid; and 'wobble' base-pairing, i.e. permitting non-standard base-pairing at the 3rd anti-codon position. The record is from RNAcentral. Lineage: Bacteria; Pseudomonadati; Pseudomonadota; Gammaproteobacteria; Enterobacterales; Yersiniaceae.